This 4155-nucleotide long non-coding RNA is filed under the name Octopus vulgaris (common octopus). Lineage: Eukaryota; Metazoa; Mollusca; Cephalopoda; Octopoda; Octopodidae. The record is from RNAcentral.
CGUUGAUCGUUAUUUACAUUUAAUGUCUUGUUUCGAUUCGUUUCUGUAAAGAGGAAAAAAAAAGACAAAUAGGAGCGCCCCCCUCCCCCCACCCUCGUGUGGGCGGGGGUGGGUCGUGUCUUAUUCUUAGUAUUUCUUUUUCCUUUUCUUUACUUAACAUUUUGUUUCCAUUUGUUGUUCUUCUUGAUGUUGUGUUUCAUGACACAAUUAGACAUAUUCCAUGACUUUUGACCCUUUCUGGGGGACGGGGACGACGUAGAGAGGUCACCUUUUUCCUUAUAUACCAUUGUCUCAUCUGGUAUUCGGUUCUGUCUGCCACAUUUUGGAACUGAAUUUGUUCCACUGUGGUGGUGGCCCUUACCUUUUACUCCCGUUGAUUGCCCUGUGGGGUUUCAGGUAAGAACCCAAAGUGACCCGAGUUUAUUAGGGAGAGGGACAAGGGAGAGCACUCUGACAGCAGACACUGUCUAUGCUUCCCCCCCACCCACUCCCUUUCUCUCAUCUCUCCACUGUCCCCAAUUUUUUUAAAGGGUUUUCUGGUUGUUUAUCAUUUUGUAUGUUUUGGUGGUUUCUUUUUUGAUUUUUUUUUUCACUUGUUACUGUUUUGAGUUGGUAGAUUCAGGAGGUGGCGGUGGCGGCGGCGGUGGUGGUGGUUGUAUGGUGGCGGCGGCGGUGGUGAUAUGAUGGUAGUUGUGGUGGUGGUGGUGGUGGAGGGGGCAAUGGUUGCAACACAUGCUGGACAAAUAAUAAAUGGCCACCGGACAUAUAGAUAUCCAGAUGAAUGUUUGUAAAUGGCUGUUUGCGACUAACGACUUAACAGUUCCUUAGACUAGAAAACCUUGCAACUGAUAUAGUUUUGGGUGCAAUAAGACCCUCGUCCUCACCUCAAUGCUAAGUGGUCAAUAUUUGUUGUAAACUUAAGGAACCACCUUCUCUACAUCUUUGUGUUUCAAGUGUUUAUUACCAGAUGAUAAAAUAAAUAAACAAAAUAAAAUGGAGUUCUAUUUAUCCACUUAAUUCGAAGACUCUCCAUAAUGGUCCUCUCCUAUGAAGUUGUCCUUAACCGACAUUACAAGCAUUGCUUGAAAACAGUUUUCUAUUUCUAAAAGUGUUUAAUAUUAAAGAUUAUCUAAUUAUAUUCCUUCAUCUAAUUUUGCUCUUUCUAAUAACAGAAGAACAUUCUCACAGCCAGCUGUUUCAUUAAAAUAAUAUUAUUUGCAACAUCGAGAAAAUCUGAAAAUAGUUUUGUUGUUGUUGUUGCUGUUCUUUGGUGCUUAAAAAAACCCCAAUCCAUUGCCCCCAAGUGGGAACAUGUUGGAAAAAAAGGGGACAGAAAGGCUUUUUCUGUUCCCAGUUUGGCUGAACUCCUAGAAUUAAAUGCUUAAUAUUAUUUUUAUCCAUUUCUGUAAUGUGACCCUAAAGGGUCAUCAACAUAAUCAACUCAUUAGCAAUUCAAUAAUUAGUUUUCCUUAAAGUAGAAUUAAUGAAACCUUAAUCUUCUAAGACUAAUAUAUCCUGCCCUUGAGGAAAAAAGGGUUUUGUUCAUAACCCCUUUCAGGACUCUCAUGAAAAAACAUUUUGAAAGUUUUAUUUUAUAUUUUUUUCAAACUGUUUAAUAUUCAGAGAUUAUUCCUUAAAAUAAUUUAUUUCUGUUUAUGGCCCUUUUUAUAAAUCUCUUGAUCAGUAAAAGAUAUGAACAGAGAUCAAAGAUCAAUAAAUUACUGAUUGAAAAUAGAUCAGUACGGAUUAUCAGCAUCUGAGAUAAUCCAAAAACAAUGGUUCGAGUGACUGAUUAUUCCAUGCUAUAAAUCAUUAGUCGUGAAUUAGUGAUAGGAAUCAGAAAGCUCACAAAAUGAUAUAGACAUCUGAAACCAAUAACCAAUCAAUCAAAUUACUAAAUUACAUAACUGAGGGACCAGUAUUGGGUCCUUAAUCAGCCAUUCUGUGGGUUCAGUGAGCUUAGCAGCAUGUUUUACGUUUUUAUAUUCAUAUACCUCUCUCUCCUCGAUCACACCAUGUCAAAGGGUAUCAGAAGGAGCAGAGAUAAAGAAAUCCCUUUCUGUUCCCUGUGGCUGGUCCCACUUCUUCCAAAUUACGAGUUCAAUUUGUUCGAUAAUGUACAAGUUGUCUGAUAACACAACAGGAUUCAGAUUUUCGUAGAUUGUCUCCCUUAUCACAGAUUGGGGUUCCAGUCGAUUUAUUUGAGUUUUUUUUACACACACACACACACACAUAUAUUAUUUAUAUUAUCUUAUAUAUAUAUAUAUAUAUAUAUGUGUGUAUGUGUGUGUAUAUAUAUAUGUGUGUGUGUAUAUAUAUGUAUGUGUAUAUAUAUAUAUAUGUGUGUAUAUAUAUAUGUGUAUAUAUAUAUAUGUAUAUAUAUAUAUAUAUGUAUAUAUAUAUAUGUGUAUAUAUAUAUGUAUAUAUAUGUAUAUGUAUAUAUAUAUAUAUAUAUAUAUAUAUAAUGUGUGUGUGCGUGUGUUCUUUUUAGACUUAAACCAAUUGAAAUGUACAGAGGAAGGAUAAAACUUCAGCCCUUUAUAUACAAAAUAAAUAGGUACCGAGGUUUAAAUGAUGCCUACAGAAUCAUGAAUGUGUCUUCGUAUGCACAUGAGCACAUGUGAGCAAAUACACACACACACACACAUGCAUAUCUAUACAAAUGUAUUUUUGGGUGUCAGUGUGUCUAUGAAUAGAAAAAUGCAUGUUUGUGUGUAUGAUAUGAAUACAUACAUAUAUAUAAUAUACAUAUAGAUAAUAUGCAUGUAUGUAUAGUCUCAUUCAUAUUAUACACACGUGUUCUUAUAUAUAUAUAUAUCUAUAUAUAUAAUCCCUAAUAAAACUCGGUACUGUGAUGUGAACCCACCCACCCAGCUUUGUACAAUUUUGUCAAUGUCAACUUUGUAGUGUGUGUGUAUGUGUGAGCGUGUGUAUGUGUGUAUGUACACACACGUGUGUGUUUGUUUAAUUUUUGUUUCUCUUCUCCCUCACUUGUCUCCCCGUCCAUUCUACACACUUGAAAUGGAACCAGAUUCGGAAUGAAAGCAGAAAAAUGCACAGCCAUUUUGUAGAGUAACGUUAAUUAGGGGUGAACCAAAACAGACGGACAAACAGACAGACAGGUAGAUAGACAGAACUGGACACUGCUUUAGGUAGAAGGGAUAAAAGUCGUUUAAGGGCAGAAUUCACAGUCUGCUCCUUGUGAGCUUUAAUUUACUUUCACUCUUUGGAGUUCUUGAGAAUUCCUGACGACAAGAAUUAUCUGAUCCAUUCUUAUUCCGCCCCCCCCCCAUUCCCAGACCUAAUCCCCGUCCUUUGUGGCGCAACGGCAUGUUCAGUCCAGGGGAGAUAACUGCAAAUACUCAACUGAGAAUGGACAAACCUGAAAUUCCACUCAUUUGGACCCCGCUUAUCUUUUUCGUCGUAAUCCAGGAUUUCUAAUACCACUUUAUCUUAAAAAAACAAAUAAACGUUUUACUGCCAAUGAAAUUCUAUAUUUUAUAAAGAUUAAAUCUAAAAUCGUUAUCAUGGCUUCUAUAAUCAUUUUACAGUUUACAGAGGUUGUCACAGUUUCUUUUAGCUCGUUGAGUCAGAAGACGACAAACCCAAUAAAAAGGGAGUGACCCCUACUCCCCCCCCCCCCAAAAAAAAACAUUCGUAAUUUGUUCUGACUUGGAAAAAUACUUUGAAAUAAAAAAUUUAAAAAUUUAAAUAAUAAAUGCUGAAAUUAUAUAAAAGUUUAAAUUUAAAUAAAAUCGCUGUUAUUGAGUGAGAGAGAACAGUGAGACUGGAUUAAAUAUACGAAGCCCAGAAUACCCAUCAUGACUACUAUUAUUAUCAUUAUUAUUCGUUUAAAAAUUAGUUUCAGCUAAGCCAAAUUCUUAACUGUAAGACAUUGAUGAAUGUACAAAAAAAUGAAGGAGCGAGGUUCCAGUUCUGUCCGAUUAUUUUAAGAAAGAAAGAAGUAAUAAAGGUGAAAAGGAAAAUAAACUAAAUAAAAAGGAAAGAGAAGCAAAUAAGGAAUGAAUUACCUUCAGAAUGGUUACACACACACACACACACACACACACACACACAUACACACACACACACAUACCAUACACACACAUAUAUAUACAUAUUUAUGCAUUAUAUAUGUAUAUAUACAUACAUAUA